Long non-coding RNA from Ictalurus punctatus (channel catfish), 1314 nucleotides. The record is from Ensembl. Lineage: Eukaryota; Metazoa; Chordata; Actinopteri; Siluriformes; Ictaluridae.
CUUCACUAUCCGCUGCAGGGUCUUGCGAAACCAGUGAGGUGCAAUUUCAGAACCAGACAGUGAUGCAGCUGCUCAAGAUGCUCUCAAUAGUUCCUGUGUAGAAUGUGGUGAUCCUCACUGCCACGUCAUUCUGUGUCUCAAACCGAGCACAGAAGUUGUUCUGGAAGGGAGGCAUUACUGUCACAGGCGGGUGAUGUUGUCCUGUCGUUGCUGAACUGGAACUUUAGAACUUAGAAAAUUAGAACUGGAGUAAGAAGAAGCGGCGUCUGAUUGGAUGAUGACCUGUCGUCACUUCCGCCUGAUUUCAACGUUGUAUGCGUGAUGCAGCAAGUGUAGCGAAACAGAAACGUCGAGAAAACGCCCAAGCGAACAUCUCUCUCCUUCGUCAGCGGUUUAGUUUUUGAUUCCGCAAAACUAAAUUAUCUUUUGUUUAAGUUAUUUACUUAUUAUAAAUAACGUACUUGUUUUAGUACGCGCGUCGGUAUGUGUAUUGACGACAUGGGAACAGAAGGGAGAAAGCAGCGCGAAAGCCGCUCCAACGGGUUUAGAAGGAAGACGGGUGUUGUGGAAGCCGCUGUACGGAGGUCGUCGAGGAAGCCUGGACGUCGUUCUCACAGCUUGGCGUCGGUGAAGGAGAAGCAGAAACAUUCAGACGCGCUCCCGUCGGGAGCGAUGGCGCCGAGAAACACCACGCAGUACCUCAUGGAGCAAGUCUACAGCGACCUGAACAUUACCGCGCUGUCCCCUAAACUGACACCGGGACUUCGAGAGCGUGUUCUUUCAGAAUGAGAUCUGAAUCGACGCCAUUUUGACGGCCGCCAUCUUGGGCCGGGGAAAAAAACCAAGAAGUCCGGAAACUUGCCGGCUGAACCUGAUUAAAAUUAAACGACACGCAUGCGCAGCAGGAGGCUCGUGGCUCUGCGUCAUGUGCCGCUGUCCCGAGAGUGUAAGCCCCGCCCACGCCUGCUCAGACACAUGAGCACACAGGUAAACCUGCUCCACAAAGGUGUGUGUGUAUGCUCUAUAUUGUGUUUGUGUUCUGCUGUGCAUCUGUGUUCGAGAGACUUUUGCAGGUCUCCUGCUCCAUCGCUGAUGGCUUUCAGCUGAACUUUCUGAGCAGCGGCGGUCAGAAGGACACGAGGCCGAAAGGCUCCCAGUCUUCAGGCCUGGGUAACUCUUAUUCUGAUCACUCUUAUUGUACUCUGAUGCACUGUGAGUUCACUGUGGAGAUGUUUGAAAGGUAACCAGGCUUGUGCACUUUGUAUAUAAAUUUGUGUUUAAAGAAAAUGUAUUAAAGUUAUUUUGCUUACACUU